This 1485-nucleotide ribosomal RNA is filed under the name metagenome. RNAcentral's name for it is "bacterial LSU rRNA". It matches the Rfam family "Bacterial large subunit ribosomal RNA", at positions 1405 to 2912 of the family's 2925-position model. The record is from RNAcentral.
AAAGGCGAAGUUGAUGGCCAAUGGGUUAAUAUUCCCAUACUACCUUAAUGAGCGAUGGAGAGAAGGAGGAGUGAUAGUUCCGCGAUCUGACGAAUAUGGUCGUUAAAAGGCGUAGGUAUAGGUCUUGUAGUUAAAUGCGCAAGAUUUGCUGAAACCCAACAGUACCUGGCGGCUUCGGCCAAAGGGAUAGAGAACGUAAGCAGACUUCCAAGAAAAUCUUCUAAGCAUAUUGUUAAGGUACCCGUACCGCAAACCGACACAGGUAGUCAAGGAGAGAAUCCUAAGGUGCUCGAGUGAGUCAUGGCUAAGGAACUAGGCAAAUUAAACCUGUAACUUCGGGAAAAGGGUUGCCUCCUCUAGCAAUAGAGAGGUCGCAGAGAAAUGGCCCAGGCGACUGUUUAACAAAAACACAUGGCUAUGCGAAAUCGCAAGAUGAAGUAUAUGGCCUGACACCUGCCCGGUGCUGGAAGGUUAAGGGUGGAAGUUAGUCGCAAGGCGAAGCUUUGAACUGAAGCCCCAGUAAACGGCGGCCGUAACUAUAACGGUCCUAAGGUAGCGAAAUUCCUUGUCGGGUAAGUUCCGACCUGCACGAAUGGUGUAACGAUCUGGGCACUGUCUCAGCCAUGAGCUCGGUGAAAUUGUAGUCACGGUGAAGAUGCCGUGUACCCGUCACGGGACGGAAAGACCCCAUGAACCUUUACUAUAGCUUCGCAUUGACAUUGGGUAGAUGAUGUGUAGGAUAGGUGGGAGGCAUUGAUCCGUGGCCGCUAGGUUACGGGGAGUCAACGGUGAAAUACCACCCUUUAUCUAUCUGAUGUCUAAUCCGGGGAACUGGAGACAGUGCGUGGUGGGUAGUUUGACUGGGGUGGUCGCCUCCGAAAGUGUAUCGGAGGCUUUCAAAGGUAUGCUCAGUACGCUUGGUAACCGUACGUGGAGUGCAAUAGCAAAAGCAUGCUUGACUGUGAGACUGACAAGUCGAUCAGGGACGAAAGUUGGAUAUAGUGAUCCGGUGGUUCUGCAUGGAAGGGCCAUCGCUCAAAGGAUAAAAGGUACUCUGGGAUAACAGGCUGAUCUCCCCCAAGAGCUCACAUCGACGGGGAGGUUUGGCACCUCGAUGUCGGCUCGUCACAUCCUGGGGCUGGAGAAGGUCCCAAGGGUUAGGCUGUUCGCCUAUUAAAGUGGCACGCGAGCUGGGUCCAGAACGUCGUGAGACAGUUCGGUCCCUAUCUGUGAUGGGCGUAGGAAGUUUGAGAGGCUCUGACCUUAGUACGAGAGGACCGGGUUGGACUAACCGCUGGUGUACCGGUUGUGGCGUCAGCUGCAUCGCCGGGUAUCUACGUUGGGACGGGAUAAGCGCUGAAAGCAUCUAAGCGCGAAACCCACCUCAAGAUGAGACUUCCAUUAAGGGACGUCAGAGAUGAUGACGUUGAUAGGCUGCAGGUGUAAAGGCAGAAAUGUCAAAGCUGAGCAGUACUAAUUACUCAA